Molecule: transfer RNA, 75 nt
Filed under: Alphaproteobacteria bacterium
Lineage: Bacteria; Pseudomonadati; Pseudomonadota; Alphaproteobacteria
Also listed under: 5 other names
Description: tRNA-Val
Rfam family: tRNA
About the family: Transfer RNA (tRNA) molecules are approximately 80 nucleotides in length.
Source: RNAcentral
GGGCGCGUAGCUCAGUGGGAGAGCACUUCGUUGACAUCGAAGGGGUCGCUGGUUCAAUCCCAGCCGCGCCCACCA